Molecule: non-coding RNA, 706 nt
Organism: Camelina sativa (false flax)
Lineage: Eukaryota; Viridiplantae; Streptophyta; Magnoliopsida; Brassicales; Brassicaceae
Source: RefSeq, a predicted model, not a curated record
GAUCCAAAAUGCCUAGUAUUGUGGUUUGAAUGUUCUCGUUUUGCUAUUAAUGAAUUUGCUGUUUGCAAUUAUUUUUUUUACAAAUCGGGUUUUGGUAAUUUGGAUCGGAAUAUUGGUGAUUCCUACAUGGGCAACACUCAAUUCGUCUGAAUCGAUAUGGUUCUUCACCUGUUAUGGUUUCCGUGUUAUAGUUUAUCACGAAAUCCCCUCAACUUCACGGUUAGAUCCAAUUAUAUUUGAUAUAAAGACAUUACAUUUUCAUUUGAAUUUUUUAUUUUGGAAGGUGAGAGCAGAAUAUUACCUUUGUAUGUUUUCACUUUGACAAAUCUGAGGACGCAAACCACAAUGACACCAUUUGAUGCCUGGCUGUCUCUAAAAACUUUGUCAGCAAAUGAGCCCCACAAGUCUUAGUCUUAGUCUUGUAUGGACAAUGUCUCUGAGGAAAGCAAAAGAAGUCGCCAUUGUUUUAGAAAAUUAGGCCUGAAGUCGAAGGAAGUUAAGAGGUCUUAUACUUUCUAUAUUUUCGGCAAACGAAGCUGUAUUAUUGUUUUUAAAUUUUUUUUAUUAAUUGUAAUUAUAAUGGCAUGGUUGUAAAUAGUUCUGAACUUGAAGCCUUCUUUGCCAAAGUUGCUGUGAAAAUGUUAAUAUAGAUGACCUAUAUAUUAGAGUUAAUCUAUAUAAUAAUAACAAUCCGAAUAAAAAGUGA